UACGGAGGGUGCAAGCGUUAUCCGGAUUCACUGGGUUUAAAGGGUGCGUAGGUGGGUCCGUAAGUCCGUGGUGAAAUCUCCGAGCUUAACUUGGAAACUGCCAUGGAUACUAUAGGUCUUGAAUACUGUGGAGGUCAGCGGAAUAUGUCAUGUAGCGGUGAAAUGCUUAGAUAUGACAUAGAACACCAAUUGCGAAGGCAGCUGGCUACACAAAUAUUGACACUGAUGCACGAAAGCGUGGGGAUCAAACAGG
RNAcentral lists this ribosomal RNA (253 nucleotides) under uncultured bacterium. Its description in RNAcentral is "partial 16S ribosomal RNA". It matches the Rfam family "Bacterial small subunit ribosomal RNA", at positions 524 to 776 of the family's 1533-position model. The record is from RNAcentral.